This 40-nucleotide ribosomal RNA is filed under the name Hermatomyces pandanicola. Its description in RNAcentral is "partial 28S ribosomal RNA". Lineage: Eukaryota; Fungi; Ascomycota; Dothideomycetes; Pleosporales; Hermatomycetaceae. RNAcentral also lists the same sequence under 2 other names. The record is from RNAcentral.
UUUGACCUCGGAUCAGGUAGGGAUACCCGCUGAACUUAAG